GUAUGUUUUCUCAGUUGAAGUGUUAACCUCUUAUGAUUCACACGUCUGUGUUACCUCUGCCUUCGAUACUUUAUCAAUUUUAGAGUCUGAGAGCAGUGUAUUUAUCGUGAUUUAAUUAUUUAGUCUCAGGGUUGAAACUGUAUCAGUGUUAUGGUGGGGCUCUUUGUCAUUCUUUUCAUUUUAAGAAGCAUAUUUUUAAUAGGCAUUCUGAUAUGUGACUUUGAUGACUAUCCUAAAUUUAUUUAGGUUCAUAGAAAUCAAUGUUCCAGUCCAGGCUGGCAAGUUUACAAUGUUUCUAUUGGUAUACUAUUUUUGUUCCGUGUACUUCCCUCUUCUAUGGUAUGCUUACACAUGAUAUGGUCAAAUGGUUUCUAUGUUUGCUGAAUUUGAUGUAGUACUUGCUUUGCAAUAACUUUGUGAGGAUGAGAGGGAGUGAAAAAAUACGAUGGGAACUAGAGUAGGGUAAAAGCAAAUAUAUUCUUUAUCAUGUUGAUGUGUAUGAUCUAUUUUGGCUGUGAACAGGCCAUAAAUUUUAUUGGAUUUCAGGGUUUUCUUGAUGUGUAAAUGAUAUUUUGGUCAUUGGAAAUGUUCAUUACUUGAAUUUAGCCCCUGGUCUCGUCAUGUAUACAUUUUGUCCUUGAAUUAAUCAAACUCAUUUAAAAUUUUGACCGUAUCAGAAAUAGCAAAAAGAGUAAGAAGAAACAAGUUUGAAUAAUUUAAGGACUGGUUCAUAAUAUUGCUUAAAUGAAGGGUCUGAAGUCUAAACUAUUGCCUAGUUAGGAGAUCGAUUUAAUUAUAACUGAUUUUAUAUUUGUGGUACUCUGCUAAACCAAGUGACGCAUGAUGAUGUUUAAUCAUAAUUUUCCCAUGUUCUCUGUUUAGAGUAAAUCACCUUAUUUGCACAAUUUUAACUGUAGAUAGAUUAUAGUUAUGCAGCUGGUGUCUUGCCAAGCAUUCUUGCAUAUGCUGCUGGCAUGUAGUUUGCUAGAAUCUAGUUCCUUUCCUUUUGUUUUCCUUCCCUCCCAUCACCAAAGAAAAAUACGUAUGGGUUUCAAUUAGUAAUGUUGAGAAGAUGCGACUAGAGAUAUGGCCAAAAUAGUCCUUAUAAUGGAUAGAAGAAGAACAACCCUCACCUCUAAGCUAGCUUUUGGGGUAGAGUUAAGCCUAACCCAAAAUAUGUUAUUUGAGCUUAUCCUAGAUCCGUUUAUUGGAUACCAUCCAUAUAUGAGCACCCGCAUAUGUUCAUUCUUGCAAAUCCACACUCCAGAUGUCUAGCCCUAUGUGAGUGGGGGUGUGUUGAGAAGUCUCACAUUGACUUGAAACAUGACCAAAUUAGUCAUUUUUGUAAGAAUUAAUAAUAUAAAACCAUUCAUUUGACCCUUACCCAACAUCUUAAGCUUUUGGGAUAAAUGGUUUCUUGAUAUGGUAUCAGAGCCUCUAUGACCAAACGGUCUAGAGUUUGAUCCUUGCCGCCCCCAAUUCUUUUAAUAAAAAGUUGAAAUUCAGCACAUGGUAGGUGGGCAUGUGCAUUGUCAACGCUUGAAGCCCAAACGGGCUUUUGCGUGAUGGGGCGUGUUAGAAAUAAUAAUAAAAAAUCAUUCAUGUGGCCCUACCCAACAACUUCAGCUUUUGGGAUAAUUGGUUCUUCACAAUUAUAAAAGGUAGAACAACCCUCACCUCUAAGCUAGCUUUUGGGGUAGAGUUAGGCCUAACCUGAAUUCUAAGGAUUACCAUUAGUCAACCUAUACCUAUGUGACCAGGUUUCCCCAUAAAGCUGAUGGUAAGUUUACUAAUUACUUCUAACAGGCUAUGAGAGUUUGACCUUUUCUAUUGCUUUCAACUCCAUGGUGACGAGUCUGAGGAAUAUGGUGGGAAGGUUUUCAUAACUCUGAAAGCAGCUAUUGGGUCUGAGAAACGAGUGAAUGGUUUCCUUGGCUCCGAAAAGAUUUUAAGGAUUAUUUUUAACAUAUUAGCAUGGGCAUAUAUCAGAAGUUCUACUGCUUUGGCAUGGACAUAUUGUCAAAAGUUGUUUGAUAUCAGCUCCUAGGUAUCUGGACUACGUUUUACAGAUGAAAUUCAUUCUGUUCAUAGGAGC
This 2095-nucleotide long non-coding RNA is filed under the name Lotus japonicus. RNAcentral's name for it is "long non-coding RNA (LJAP_LNC000312)". Lineage: Eukaryota; Viridiplantae; Streptophyta; Magnoliopsida; Fabales; Fabaceae. The record is from RNAcentral.